This 390-nucleotide ribosomal RNA is filed under the name uncultured bacterium. RNAcentral describes it as "bacterial SSU rRNA". It matches the Rfam family "Bacterial small subunit ribosomal RNA", at positions 27 to 419 of the family's 1533-position model. The record is from RNAcentral.
GGACGAACGCUGGCGGCGUGCUUAACACAUGCAAGUCGAGCGGUAAGGCCCUUUCGGGGUACACGAGCGGCGAACGGGUGAGUAACACGUGGGUGACCUGCCCUCAGCUCUGGGAUAAGCCUGGGAAACCGGGUCUAAUACCGGAUAUGACUCCAUGACGCAUGUUGUGGGGUGGAAAGCCUUGUGCGGCCGAGGAUGGGCCCGCGGCCUAUCAGCUUGUUGGUGGGGUGANGGCCUACCAAGGCGACGACGGGUAGCCGGCCUGAGAGGGCGACCGGCCACACUGGGACUGAGACACGGCCCAGACUCCUACGGGAGGCAGCAGUGGGGAAUCUUGCGCAAUGGGCGAAAGCCUGACGCAGCGACGCCGCGUGAGGGAUGACGGCCUGG